GAGAAUAAUACAUGGGUGCACGAAAUACCAGAUUUAUUUCGAGUCUUGAACAUGAGUGUGCAGCGAACAAGUGAGCGCAGCGAACGAGUGAGAUGUCAUGUUCAACACAAAAAAUAAAUCUGGUAUUUCCAACCACCCAUGUAUUUUUCUGUUUAUUGUAUAAAGGACAGUCUUAAAUGAAAAGCGAUAAUGUUUACACAAAAGCGAUAAUUGAAAAGGCGAUAAAUUUUUACAUGUGAG
This is a non-coding RNA of Paramuricea clavata, 240 nucleotides long. NCBI's taxonomy places the organism in Eukaryota, Metazoa, Cnidaria, Anthozoa, Malacalcyonacea, Plexauridae. The record is from the annotation of a GenBank genome assembly.